Molecule: long non-coding RNA, 1194 nt
Filed under: Homo sapiens (human)
Lineage: Eukaryota; Metazoa; Chordata; Mammalia; Primates; Hominidae
Description: HSALNT0163432
Source: RNAcentral
UCCCGUUCUCUUAGAUAGCUUCUACUUCAGAAGUAUAAUCUAUUCUCUCCCACUCAUCCAGUCUCAAGAGAAUUGGAACUAUUUUGCAAUAAAAGAUGUGUAAGGCUGACCCUCCCUGCCUACGCUGCUCUCUGCUUAAAUGGGUUGAGUCAGUAUUUCCUCUUUUUCUAAUUCAGCAAUGGGCCAGCUGGUUUUGUCUGAUAGACUAAGACCCAAUUAAAUGACCUUCUUUCUAACCAGGAAAACAAUAGAGGAAUGUUCUGGAGAAUAUAUUUGGAAAACCUGGCCUGAUCUUCCCAUCUGAUUUUCACACGUGAGGAAUCUGAGGAGCUUGAGAAGAUAAAUGAGCCACUCAAGGUCACACAGCUGGUAAAUAAUAGUACUGAUAAAAGGUCUUUGAGUUUUAUGGUUGUGACAGCUUAGAUAUGAAAAGGGUCUUAAAGAACACCUAAUUUAAGCAAUUCACUUUGUUAGAAGAGGAAAUACAACUCCAAAGAGGAUAAGUUACUGUCCAAGGCUGUACAGGCAAAGUCUAUAUGGAGAAUCUGAUAGACUUUCUGGCUUCUCCUUGGAAGGAAACAAAGUGAAAAUGAAUUUAAUUAUGCUAGCCAGAAAUGACUCUUAACCAAUGUUUUCUAAGUAUGCAUAAGAACUUCUGCUAAAUGCUAUAAGACACUGACAUGACAGACACUGAGAUGCUGCUGUAGCCUCAGUAAGGUAGCAACUGGGAGGUGGCUGGUGACUUCACAUUAGAACCACUGGGAGCUUUAUCAAUACUACUGAUGACCUUGUCUGAGCCAUACUCUACAGAAAUGAAAUCUAUUGAGAAGUUGGAGGUGAGAUGGGGCCCCAGUGUCUGUACUUUUCAAAAACUGCCUGGGUGAUUCUAGUGCAGCCAGAGUGGAGAACCACUAGCCUAGAGCAAAACAAGAUCCGGAGUCAGAGAGAAGAGAAAAAGAUGGCAGCAGAGGCCUCAGGCCAAGGGGUGCCCAGAUCACCAGCAGAGAGGAGGCAGUGGUGCUUAUCUCCUUAUUAUGCGCACACACACACACACACACACACACACACACACACUCCUUUCAUCUGUCUCCUCUAUGGCUACAAGGGGAGAAAUCCCUUGGUGGGAAUAAGACCAGCAUUAAGAAGAGAUGGAUAAAAAGAUCAUUGGCCAGCCCAGCCUUGGGCCUAGCUAAA